Molecule: unclassified non-coding RNA, 332 nt
Filed under: soil metagenome
Description: partial contains 5.8S ribosomal RNA, internal transcribed spacer 2, and large subunit ribosomal RNA
Rfam family: 5.8S ribosomal RNA (bases 1-120)
Source: RNAcentral
GAUGAAGAACGUGGCGAAAUGCGAUAAGUAGUGUGAAUUGCAGAAUUCAGUGAAUCAUCGAAUCUUUGAACGCACAUUGCGCCCUUUGGUAUUCCUUAGGGCAUGCCUGUUCGAGCGUCAUUUAAACCUUCAAGCUAAGCUUGGUGUUGGGUGACUGUCCGCUUCACGGCGGACUCGCCUCAAAAUUAUUGGCGGCCGGUACAUUGGCUUCGAGCGCAGCAGAAACGCGAACUCGGGCCCGUCGUAUUGGCUCCCAGAAGCUAUCUUCACAAUUUUGACCUCGGAUCAGGUAGGGAUACCCGCUGAACUUAAGCAUAUCAAUAAGCGGAGGA